Small nucleolar RNA from Hemibagrus wyckioides, 205 nucleotides. RefSeq annotates it as small nucleolar RNA U3. The record is from RefSeq and is a predicted model, not a curated record. The transcript has a single exon. NCBI's taxonomy places the organism in Eukaryota, Metazoa, Chordata, Actinopteri, Siluriformes, Bagridae.
ACGACUAUACUUUCAGAGAUCAUUUCUAUAGUGACUGAUUAGGAAAUGUGAUUUGAAAGUGAUCUGUCUCUCUAAUCCCGAUGAAGAACUGUGAUGUAUUCUUCUGAGCGCAAAUCAGAUACAAGCUAAUGAUUUUUGUCACAGGCUUGAGUCAUUGAUGAAUGUUCUCUGUUUCCUGAGAAGUAGAGUACAUGAUCAGAGUGAU